GGGGGCGUCGGCUAGCUUGGCUUAGGCUCUACGGCUUGGGCCCGUAAGACCCCGGUUCGAAUCCGGGCGCCCCCA
This 75-nucleotide transfer RNA is filed under the name Thermoproteota archaeon. RNAcentral describes it as "tRNA-Pro". It matches the Rfam family "tRNA". From Rfam's summary of the family: Transfer RNA (tRNA) molecules are approximately 80 nucleotides in length. RNAcentral also lists the same sequence under 1 other name. Lineage: Archaea; Thermoproteati; Thermoproteota. The record is from RNAcentral.